RNAcentral lists this ribosomal RNA (492 nucleotides) under uncultured bacterium. Its description in RNAcentral is "partial 16S ribosomal RNA". It matches the Rfam family "Bacterial small subunit ribosomal RNA", at positions 28 to 507 of the family's 1533-position model. The record is from RNAcentral.
GGUGAACGCUGGCGGUAGGCCUAACACAUGCAAGUCGAACGGCAGCACAGUAAGAGCUUGCUCUUACGGGUGGCGAGUGGCGGACGGGUGAGGAAUACAUCGGAAUCUACUUUUUCGGGGGGGAUAACGUAGGGAAACUUACGCUAAUACCGCAUACGACCUACGGGUGAAAGCAGGGGAUCUUCGGACCUUUCGCGAUUGAAUGAGCCGAUGUCGGAUUAGCUAGUUGGCGGGGUAAAGGCCCACCAAGGCGACGCUCCGUAGCUGGUCUGAGAGGAUGAUCAGCCACACUGGAACUGAGACACGGUCCAGACUCCUACGGGAGGCAGCAGUGGGGAAUAUUGGACAAUGGGCGCAAGCCUGAUCCAGCCAUACCGCGUGGGUGAAGAAGGCCUUCGGGUUGUAAAGCCCUUUUGUUGGGAAAGAAAAGCAGCAGGUUAAUACCCCGCUGUUCUGACGGUACCCAAAGAAUAAGCACCGGCUAACUUCGUG